This 448-nucleotide ribosomal RNA is filed under the name uncultured bacterium. Its description in RNAcentral is "bacterial SSU rRNA". It matches the Rfam family "Bacterial small subunit ribosomal RNA", at positions 331 to 795 of the family's 1533-position model. The record is from RNAcentral.
CCAGACUCCUACGGGAGGCAGCAGUGGGGAAUAUUGCACAAUGGGGGAAACCCUGAUGCAGCGACGCCGCGUGAGGGAAGAAGGUUUUCGGAUUGUAAACCUCUGUCCUUGGUGACGAAAGAAGACGGUAGCCAAGGAGGAAGCCACGGCUAACUACGUGCCAGCAGCCGCGGUAAUACGUAGGAGGCAAGCGUUAUCCGGAAUGACUGGGCGUAAAGGGUGCGUAGGUGGUUUGACAAGUUAGUAGCGCAACUCCGGAGCUUAACUUCGGAACUACUACUAAAACUGUUGGACUUGAGUGCAGGAGGGGCAAUCGGAAUUCCUAGUGUAGCGGUGGAAUGCGUAGAUAUUAGGAGGAACACCAGUGGCGAAGGCGGAUUGCUAGACUGUAACUGACACUGAGGCACGAAAGCGUGGGGAGCAAACAGGAUUAGAUACCCCCGUAGAA